AUUGAACGCUGGCGGCAGGCUUAACACAUGCAAGUCGAGCGGGGUGAUGGUGCUUGCACUAUCACUUAGCGGCGGACGGGUGAGUAAUGCUUAGGAAUCUGCCUAUUAGUGGGGGACAACAUCUCGAAAGGGAUGCUAAUACCGCAUACGUCCUACGGGAGAAAGCAGGGGAUCACUGGUGACCUUGCGCUAAUAGAUGAGCCUAAGUCGGAUUAGCUAGUUGGUGGGGUAAAGGCCUACCAAGGCGACGAUCUGUAGCGGGUGUGAGAGGAUGAUCCGCCACACUGGGACUGAGACACGGCCCAGACUCCUACGGGAGGCAGCAGUGGGGAAUAUUGGACAAUGGGGGGAACCCUGAUCCAGCCAUGCCGCGUGUGUGAAGAAGGCCUUAUGGUUGUAAAGCACUUUAAGCGAGGAGGAGGCUCUCUUGGUUAAUACCCAAGAUGAGUGGACGUUACUCGCAGAAUAAGCACCGGCUAACUCUGUGCCAGCCGCCGCGGUAA
RNAcentral lists this ribosomal RNA (503 nucleotides) under uncultured bacterium. RNAcentral describes it as "partial 16S ribosomal RNA". It matches the Rfam family "Bacterial small subunit ribosomal RNA", at positions 30 to 523 of the family's 1533-position model. The record is from RNAcentral.